RNAcentral lists this unclassified non-coding RNA (327 nucleotides) under soil metagenome. RNAcentral's name for it is "partial contains 5.8S ribosomal RNA, internal transcribed spacer 2, and large subunit ribosomal RNA". The stretch from base 1 to 120 matches the Rfam family "5.8S ribosomal RNA", at positions 35 to 154 of the family's 154-position model. The record is from RNAcentral.
GAUGAAGAACGUAGCGAAAUGCGAUAAGUAGUGUGAAUUGCAGAAUUCAGUGAAUCAUCGAAUCUUUGAACGCACAUUGCGCCCCUUGGUAUCCCGAGGGGCAUGCCUGUUCGAGCGUCAUUUCACCACUCAAGCCUGGCUUGUGUUGGGCGACGUCCUCUUUGGGGACGCGCCUCGAAACGCUCGGCGGCGUGGCACCGGCUUUAAGCGUAGCAGAAUCUUUCGCUUUGGAAGUCGGGGCCCCGUCUGCCGGAAGACCUGCUCGCAAGGUUGACCUCGGAUCAGGCAGGGAUACCCGCUGAACUUAAGCAUAUCAAUAAGCGGGGA